UGUGCAUUUGCUUUAUUAAUAAUGUUUUACAUGUUGGCAGACUUCAAAUAUAUAGUACAUGUUAGCAGACUAAUAUAUGUACAAUUAUUAAAAUGAUUGCUUUUUAACAGACAGAGGCAAUAAUAGAAAGAGUGUAUGAAGUCACACAACUGGCUAGAGAUUCCAUGGAGAAUACGUCCUACAUUCUGGACGUUAUGACCCCUGAGGUAACCCUCAUUAUUCUCCACAAGACUGAGGGCUUUCACAGGUACCAGGGAGAAAUGGCAUUACAGUCAAACAUUUCUUUGGAGGUGCAAUGUACUAAUCCACCAUGGUUCUAAUUGAACGUCAGCAAGAAUCUUUUCCCAACCCUUUUUGAGGAGAUGGGAUUUCAUAAAUAGGUUUCA
Triplophysa rosa is the source of this 386-nucleotide long non-coding RNA. RefSeq lists it as uncharacterized. NCBI's taxonomy places the organism in Eukaryota, Metazoa, Chordata, Actinopteri, Cypriniformes, Nemacheilidae. The transcript has 3 exons. The record is from RefSeq and is a predicted model, not a curated record.